RNAcentral lists this transfer RNA (62 nucleotides) under Escherichia coli. RNAcentral describes it as "tRNA-Arg". It matches the Rfam family "tRNA", at positions 16 to 71 of the family's 71-position model. Rfam says of the family: Transfer RNA (tRNA) molecules are approximately 80 nucleotides in length. Their secondary structure includes four short double-helical elements and three loops (D, anti-codon, and T loops). Lineage: Bacteria; Pseudomonadati; Pseudomonadota; Gammaproteobacteria; Enterobacterales; Enterobacteriaceae. The record is from RNAcentral.
CCGGACAGAGCAAUUGCCUUCUAAGCAAUCGGUCACUGGUUCGAAUCCAGUACAGCGCGCCA